Molecule: unclassified non-coding RNA, 201 nt
Filed under: uncultured Tomentella
Lineage: Eukaryota; Fungi; Basidiomycota; Agaricomycetes; Thelephorales; Thelephoraceae
Description: sequence contains ITS1
Source: RNAcentral
CUGAAUUGUUAACACGAGUUGUUGCUGGUCCUCGCAUGGGGGCAUGUGCACGCUCUGUUUACACAUCCACUCACACCUGUGCACCCUCCGUAGUUCUGUGGCCCUGGGGGCUCUGUCCUCCUCCGCCGUGGUUCUGCGUCUUUACACACACAACGUAAUGAAGUCUCAUGGAAUGUAUAUCGCGUCUAACGCAAUACAAUA